Molecule: non-coding RNA, 1201 nt
Organism: Elaeis guineensis (African oil palm)
Lineage: Eukaryota; Viridiplantae; Streptophyta; Magnoliopsida; Arecales; Arecaceae
Source: RefSeq, a predicted model, not a curated record
GAGAGACCUAAGGGUGGUCCAGAAUCUUGGGGAUAUUCCUUGAGUAUUUUUUUUUUUUUAUGUUUCCCAGCGCUGCUCUCAAGUUUUGAAUGAAUCAUCGCAUGUCCUUCCAUUGUUUGUUGCUAGGCAGGAUGGCAAGUCUUGAUGGAACUUUGCUGUCUUCCAGUUUUCCCUAGUAUCUUUGUGAAAUGUGCUAAUUUUGUUGGCUCCAUGGUGCACCUGUUGUGGGUUUUCCAUAGGCACGGAAGGGACCGGUGUUGUCAAGGAGGGUCUGGAAGUGUCGUGAUUUGAGUUCCUGUAGAGUGUAACACCAGGAUCGCUUGUCCUCUUCGUAGUGUUCUGGCCGUUGCUUGGUGAGUUCGGUGUAGAGGGGAGGAGUUGCAAGAGAGUUGGUCAGGGUCAAUCUAGAUGCGUCAUCAUCUUUGUGGCGUUCUGGCUGUUACUAUGUUUCUGUUAAGGUCUUCUUGUAGGUAUUUAUUGAAACGUGACUCACUGGUUACAUGACUGAUUGGUUGGGUGGCUAGCGCAUUGCUAGGCUGCUUCUGUUAUGGUUGCCAAUGCGCCGACGCUCCUUAGUGCUUUGCUCAAUCAUUGGUGGUCAUGUUGAGGUGUUCUCAAGGUGUUUGAUAAAAUGUUGCUGAGUGGUUGAGCACUGGUACUUUGCUGCUCCAGUUAUGGCUGCCAUUGCUCCCAACUCCUAUUAAAUGUUUAAAUUGGUUUUCUGCUUGACCAUUGGGUAUUAUCUUGCUCUUGACUUGCCUGGCCCUUCUUUUUCCGACAGGAGUUUGAUACCUUGACUCCUCCCGCUGGUGACCUAGAAACCUUUUGGAGAUAGGCCUUAUGCUGCUAUGCCAGCUGUAUCUAUAUCUGAUCGGUACUUGUCUGAGUGGAGCUGACUGUUUUGGUUGAUGUGGAUGGCCUGAUGACGAUUGUUCAGAGGGUUUGGUUGGGUCUUUCUGCUAUGUUUGUGACUGAAGGUGCUUGGACCUGUUCAUCAUUGAUUUUUUGCAUCUGUCAUGAUUGUUCUGAGGGCCUAGUUUCGGCUUUCUUAUGGGUGUUUGGGAAAACUUGUAUGAAUGGUGUGUGGCUGGUGCAUUGCUAAGCCUGCUCCAAUUCUGGUGAAUUUGCUUGAUUGUUCAAUAGCAUUUGAUGAUUGAGUGGCUGUUUGCUACUCCCAUAUAUUAUGACUUGCUGUGAUUGA